RNAcentral lists this long non-coding RNA (3265 nucleotides) under Malus domestica (apple). Its description in RNAcentral is "long non-coding RNA (MDOM_LNC007891)". Lineage: Eukaryota; Viridiplantae; Streptophyta; Magnoliopsida; Rosales; Rosaceae. The record is from RNAcentral.
AAGAGCUCAAACAUAUUUCGCUUUGGUCAUCUACAUACAGCAAUCAUAAAAAUUAAAAGGAAAUUAUUCUCUUUGUUUGCUUGUAGUACAAGGAAAUUAAAGGUCUUCUGGACAAUGUUUCCCUCUUGUCCGGAACUCUUGCCUUCAUUAUGUUAUUGUAGAUCCUGGUACCGGAUUUCCGGUGGUUCGCUUUCGUCUUGUGAACGGUUUGUUUUGUGAGAGUUGCAACUUGGUCGUACCAAUACUUGAAAGGAUUUUGUGGAAGUGCAAAUUGAAAGGAAAAAAAAAUCAACAAUCUGAAUUUGCGAAGAGCUCAAUGAUAUUUCGCUUUGAUCAUCUACAUUUAGCAAUUGUAAAAAUUAAAGGAAACUAUACCAUAUCGCUUCGCUCAUCUCCUACAGGUGCUGAAAGACCACUUGGUUCAUGAGUUGGCGUCCCUUACCUUGCCAUAGACAAACAUCAAAACCCACAACCAAGUUCACUAUAAAAUGCACAAAAUAAAAAAUAACAACCAAACCCACAAAUUUAAUCGAACACUUCUACAAACUCUAGAAAAAAAUUACUAAAUCUCAGAUAAAAUAACCUCAAAAGCACCCAGAAAUUUAAUGAAGAAUUCUCUAAAACCAGAAGUUUAAACCAGAAAUUCCAGAGUCAUAAAAAUUUUACUAAAUAAAUUUGACCAAUUUAAUGUUGUCUAUAUUAAGGGAAAACCAAUAGUCAUUAACUAGAAAAUAUGCACGCGCGUUGCUGCGGUACUUGAAUGCAUCACCAUGAACUGCAUGAAUAAGAUACAUUUUACCUGAAUAAAUUCAACACAAUCAUGAAUGAACUGAGGGAUAGAUGAGUGAAUGGGGCAGGUAAGAUAUGCAGCUUCGUUUUUAUAUACAUUCAACUUAGCUGACAUGAAAAGACAUUGUACAAUUAACAGGACAAAACUGAACGUUUUGUUUCCCUGAUAAACAGAAGCAACAUGCAGUUCACACAAAUCUUGCCCCUGCAGUCAAGGUGGCAAAAUAUAUAACCUGUAGGUUAGGCACAUGUGUUAGCAGUUGACAAAAAAAUAUAAAAACUGUUUCGUUCUUAUUCUAGCAUCUAAGUUUUCAAGCACAAACAUGCAAAGCAAAAAACAUGCAGGAUGCCUGUUUCCAUAAGAAACAGAAGUCUAAGAAGUGUAUUUUAGUUUAGAGAACAUGCAUGUAUUUUCUAAUAGCGAAAACAUGAGCAAAUAUGAUUGGACAAAAACAUAUAAUGGGCAGAAACAUGAGAGAAAAAUCCAAACCUCAAGAAUAUGAUUGUAUUACAGCAAAUACGAUUGGGUUGUACUCGAGGAUCAAAUGGGGACUUGAGAUUUUGGUAACUGUGUAGAAGAAAAUGAACACCAAUGGAACAUUCCUAGAAACUAACCCUCAAACCCAUCCAAAUCAGAUCAACUAAUCAACCAAAUUAGCCCAAUCAGUAACCCUAAAUUUGCUCAACCAAAUUUGCCAAAUCAAUAAUCCUUAAGGAUAAGAUUAUUUUUAACUAUACACAAAUUCACAUGCUAGUCAUUUGAUACAUUUAACUAAUUUUGCAAGUUGUAUUUCUUUAAAUGGGAAUGAAAAUGUAACUUUUGGUCUUAUACUUUCAGAACCAAUACACAUCUCAAAUGUGGGAGUCUCAAAAGUUGUUUCAUUUAUUUCAUUCCAAAUAAAUUUUUUGUUUGGACAGAUAUUCGAACAAAAUACUCUCUGAUUGACACUCACUUAAACACCUUAGAAAGAACUCACGUUUCUCUACCUGAAAAGGAGUUCAAGGAUAUGAAAAAACUACUUAAUAUCAAAAGCAUAAACCACACUCGGUACAAUCAAUAACUAAACUAACAAUAUAUUCAACAAUGUAUCAAAAACACCAUCAAAUUAAACACAUUUAAACCAUAAAAACCAAAGGAACAAACCAUAUAAUUAAUGAGUGGUGAGUGCAGACUUUCUGGAAUUCAGGGCACCAAUUAUCCUAACAGAGAACCUGUUUUGGUCAUCCACCUUUGCCAUUUCCCCCUCAUCCCCUGAAUCCUUAUUGCCUGCACGUUCCAACGCCGUCUCAUGAAGCACCUUAGCAAACACCGGGGAGGAAAAACUAAUUAAUUUUUUUUAAACAAAUAUUAGUGCACUACAGAAAUACAUCAUCUAUAAUAAGCAAACACACGAAUGCCUGAAAACACUAAAAGUCUAAUAUAUCCUUGCAUUUCUAUUUGAAUUCAGAGUACAUGGAAAUCACAUCAACAAAUCAAAGCCCUAAAUUUUUAUCAUCCUGAACUGGAAAAAUCUGUAAAAUCUAAACAUUUUCGCCGCAUUAAAAUAUUUACAAUUUAAACCCCCCAUUCUCUUAUAGCUGAUAAUCAAAACCAAAUUAGUAAAUUACCCAGCUAAAAGCCUUUUUUCAACGAAAGCGAGGAAGGCAUGAAAGCAAACCAAAACCCUUACUGUCUGAGAGAAAUUGGGAUAGAACAUCGUAGAGAGAAAGCAAGAAGAGAGAUAUACCUGACUCUGGUUUAAGCGUCGAACGAACUCUUUCUCUCUCUCUGCAAACAAUUUUAACUGAAAAAAAAAUCCAAAUUAUGAGCACCGAUUAUCAAUCAAAUACCAAAAUGAAGUGUAAAUCACAAACUCAAUUCUCAAUAAUCAAUUCCUUGAUUCGGAUACAAAAUUUUCAUCAUUCUCUUAUCUGUUUUCCUUUGUUUUGUGAGUUUUAACCUCAAAUGGGAUUACACAAAAAACAUAACCUUCUCAGAAAACUGCAGCCAUUUUUACAAAUUUCCGUGAGCCAACACAGGAAAAUGAAAAUGACAAAGCCACAUAGUAGGAGGCAGACAAAAGAAAUCAAAGAACCGAACACUCUCUUCAUUAGCAAAAGCGUUUGAGAAAUCAAACGAAAAUAAGCCAAAUACCCCUCUUCCUCAAAUCCCGAUGGCCCCCAUGCUUUUCUCUGACUGUACCCCCUCUCCCACUCAUGAAAUCGAGGAUCUGCAGCAAUGGCGCUGAGAUCCCCACUCCUCUCUCUCUCUCUUUCUCUCUCUCUCUCUCUCUCUCUCUCAGAUGCGGCAUGGCCUCCCAUCCCCGAAACCCUCACUGAACGAAGAACGAAGAGGUGGGGGCAAUUUUGUACAAAUCAGAUCAGGAAACACUAUGCACAGUAUAUGCACCAAAUACCUAGUAAUGAGAUAUUUAGCAUGUGAUAUCUUUCGAACCACACAAUAUAUGCACCACAUCCCCAUCCUAUUCAAUUCGAU